RNAcentral lists this ribosomal RNA (253 nucleotides) under uncultured bacterium. Its description in RNAcentral is "partial 16S ribosomal RNA". It matches the Rfam family "Bacterial small subunit ribosomal RNA", at positions 524 to 776 of the family's 1533-position model. The record is from RNAcentral.
UACGUAGGGACCAAGCGUUGUUCGGAUUUACUGGGCGUAAAGGGCGCGUAGGCGGCGAAUCAAGUCAGCUGUGAAAUCUCCGAGCUUAACUCGGAACGGUCAGCUGAUACUGUUUUGCUAGAGUGCAGAAAGGGCAACCGGAAUUCUUGGUGUAGCGGUGAAAUGCGUAGAUAUCAAGAGGAACACCUGAGGCGAAGGCGGGUUGCUAGGCUGACACUGACGCUGAAGCGCGAAAGCUAGGGGAGCGAACGGG